GCCUAUACAUGCAAGUCGAACGCUUUUUCUUUCACCGGAGCUUGCUCCACCGAAAGAAAAAGAGUGGCGAACGGGUGAGUAACACGUGGGUAACCUGCCCAUCAGAAGGGGAUAACACUUGGAAACAGGUGCUAAUACCGUAUAACACUAUUUUCCGCAUGGAAGAAAGUUGAAAGGCGCUUUUGCGUCACUGAUGGAUGGACCCGCGGUGCAUUAGCUAGUUGGUGAGGUAACGGCUCACCAAGGCAACGAUGCAUAGCCGACCUGAGAGGGUGAUCGGCCACACUGGGACUGAGACACGGCCCAGACUCCUACGGGAGGCAGCAGUAGGGAAUCUUCGGCAAUGGACGAAAGUCUGACCGAGCAACGCCGCGUGAGUGAAGAAGGUUUUCGGAUCGUAAAACUCUGUUGUUAGAGAAGAACAAGGAUGAGAGUAAAAUGUUCAUCCCUUGACGGUAUCUAACCAGAAAGCCACGGCUAACUACGUGCCAGCAGCCGCGGUAAUACGUAGGUGGCAAGCGUUGUCCGGAUUUAUUGGGCGUAAAGCGAGCGCAGGCGGUUUCUUAAGUCUGAUGUGAAAGCCCCCGGCUCAACCGGGGAGGGUCAUUGGAAACUGGGAGAC
Molecule: ribosomal RNA, 622 nt
Filed under: Enterococcus gallinarum
Lineage: Bacteria; Bacillati; Bacillota; Bacilli; Lactobacillales; Enterococcaceae
Description: bacterial SSU rRNA
Rfam family: Bacterial small subunit ribosomal RNA
Source: RNAcentral